RNAcentral lists this transfer RNA (31 nucleotides) under Podarcis tiliguerta. Its description in RNAcentral is "partial tRNA-Leu". The record is from RNAcentral. Lineage: Eukaryota; Metazoa; Chordata; Lepidosauria; Squamata; Lacertidae.
UUUCUAUAGGAAAGUAGCAAUCCAUUGGUUU